This 8790-nucleotide long non-coding RNA is filed under the name Podarcis lilfordi (Lilford's wall lizard). The record is from RNAcentral. Lineage: Eukaryota; Metazoa; Chordata; Lepidosauria; Squamata; Lacertidae.
GAUGUAGCCUACCUUGAUUUCAGCAAGGCAUUUGACAAGGUGCCCCAUGAUAUUCUUGUAAAGAAGCUGGUAAAAUGUGGUCUUGACUAUGCUACCACUCAGUGGAUUUGUAACUGGCUGACUGACGGAACCCAAAGGGUGCUCAUCAAUGGUUCCUCUUCAUCCUGGAGAAGAGUGACUAUGGGUUGCCGCAGGGUUCUGUCUUGGGCCCGGUCUUAUUCAACAUCUUUAUCAACGACUUGGAUGAUGGACUCAAGGGCAUCCUGAUCAAAUUUGCAGAUGGCACCAAACUGGGAGGGGUGGCUAACACCCCAGAGGACAGGAUCACACUUCAAAACGACCUUGACAGAUUAGAGAACUGGGCCAAAACAAACAAGAUGAAUUUUAACAGGGAGAAAUGUAAAGUAUUGCACUUGGGCAAAAAAAAUGAGAGACACAAAUACAAGAUGGGGGACACCUGGCUUGAGAGCAGUACAUGUGAAAAGGAUCUAGGAGUCUUGGUUGACCACAAACUUGACAUGAGCCAACAGUGUGACGCGGCAACUAAAAAAGCCAAUGCAAUUCUGGGCUGCAUCAAUAGGAGUAUAGCAUCUAGAUCAAGGGAAGUAAUAGUGCCACUGUAUUCUGCUCUGGUCAGACCUCACCUGGAGUACUGUGUCCAGUUCUGGGCACCACAGUUCAAGAAGGACACUGACAAACUGGAACGUGUCCAGAGGAGGGCAACCAAAAUGGUCAAAGGCCUGGAAACGAUGCCUUAUGAGGAACGGCUAAGAGAGCUGGGCAUGUUUAGCCUGGAGAAGAGGAGGUUAAGGGGUGAUAUGAUAGCCAUGUUCAAAUAUAUAAAAGAAUGUCACAUAGAGGAGGGAGAAAGGUUGUUUUCUGCUGCUCCAGAGAAGCGGACACGGAGCAAUGGAUCCAAACUACAAGAAAGAAGAUUCCACCUAAACAUUAGGAAGAACUUCCUGACAGUAAGAGCUGUUCGACAGUGGAAUUUGCUGCCAAGGAGUGUGGUGGAGUCUCCUUCUUUAGAGGUCUUUAAGCAGAGGCUUGACAACCAUAUGUCAGGAGUGCUCUGAUGGUGUUUCCUGCUUGGCAGGGGGUUGGACUCGAUGGCCCUUGUGGUCUCUUCCAACUCUAUGAUUCUAUGAUUCUAGAAUAAUGUGGAAACAGGUGGUCCAAAAAGUGAAUAAUUGCAAAGAAAGUGACAUGGAGCAGAAAUCAACUGAUCCCUAGCAGCCAGGAAUCCAAGUCUUAUUUGUUAAGUGGAGAAAAAUAGGUGGAGUUAGGGAAUCGUUCACAAAUGAAAGCCACCAGACAUGAAAAGGGUUCGGGACCCCUCCUGCCCUUCACUUUGCUCCCCCAACCCUCUCAAUAUUUUUUAUCUUUAUCAAUACUUUGCACACAGGAGCAAACAUAAUGCCCCAAGACUUUGUAUCCAUGCAUUUUUAAUAAUACAGUCAUACCUUGGGUUAUGUUCACUGGAAGGACAGAUCCUGAAGCUGAGGCUCCAAUACUUUGGCCACCUCAUGAGAAGAGAAGACUCCCUGGAAAAGACCCUGAUGUUGGGAAAGAUGGAGGGCACAAGGAGAAGGGGACGACAGAGGACGAGAUGGUUGGACAGUGUUCUCGAAGCUACCAGCAUGAGUCUGACCAAACUGCAGGAGGCAGUGGAAGACAGAAGUGCCUGGCGUGCUCUAGUCCAUGGGGUCACGAAGAGUCGGACACAGCUAAACGACUAAACAACAACAACACCUUGGGUUAAAUGUGCUUCAGGUUGAGUGUUUUCAGGUUACGCUCUGUGGUGACCCGGAAGUAACGGAGUGUGUUACUUCCAGGUUUCGCCGCUCGCGCACGCGCAGACACUCAAAAUGACGUCACACGUAUGCACAGAAACGGCAAAUCGUGACCCGCACACACGCAGACAUGGGUUGCGUUCACUUCAGGAUGCAAAUGAGGCUCCAGAACGGAUCCCGUUCGCAUCCAGAGGUACCACUGGAGGAGGAGGAGGAGGAGGAGGAGGAGGAGGAGGAGGAAGAAGAAGAAGAAGAAGAAGAAGAAGAAGAAGAAGAAGAAGAAGAAGAAGAAGAAGAAGAAGAAGAUUUUCUUUGUUUCUGUUUGGAAUUACACCUCACAAAAAGUAUCCAUUUUAUUUAAACCAUCUUGACGUCUUUUAAACACAGUAACUUACAUUUAUGCAAUCAAAUAUGAAUGACACUCUUUAUUUAUAAACACAAGUUUAAGUGCAGAUUAAAACAUUUGGAAUGAAGUUUUGCCUGUCCUUAAAGUGAUUAUAGAGGUGGAGUUUGGAAGGGAUCCUAAUAUCUGCCUGUUAAAAAUGAUUUGCAAGGCAGCAUUAGAUGAAAAUGUAGGCAUCACAGGUACUUAAUGCACUGCCUGCGGCAAGAAUAGUUGUGGUAAAUAACUGGAAACGUGAAGAAGAAGAAAAUAUUUAGAGGAGGAAUGGAGAGAAAAAGUUGGGUAUAUAAAAAGUUAGACCUUUAAACAAAGAUUGAGGGAGAGGCUAAUGAACUUUGAGAAGGUAGCAAACAUUAAUAAAUCGAACCUUUUGGACUCAGUCUGAGCAGAAAUAUUGCCAAGGCUUUAGAUUUUCUCAAUGGAAGAUUAAAACACCAGAGUUCUGUGGGUGUUGGGUGAAAUGGUUACUUCAUUUCUUUCCAUUUUUUGUACAUGAAAAGCACACAUUCGUGGAAUGUAUGUAGAGAUCUAUUACCUUAUUUGGGUGCUCGGUUGCUAUAUGCGGUGAAAAUAAUGGGAUGGAGAGUGGAGCAUCACAACCAAGUCCUGGCCCCUCCAGGUGCAUCACCAUCCCCUCCAUGGGCUAGGGAGUGAAAGUCUGUCGUGGGGAGCCUCAUGUACUUGUGGAAGCACCCCAUAUGAUUUAGAGCCAGUUAUGCAGGGUGCCUCCAUUAGUCCAGGAAGAUCCCUGUACUUCAGUCAUGCACCCAACAAUUUAUUUGGGGUGAAGACAAGACACAGAUGAUGUACUGGAAGAAACACACCCUAGCAUUUCCUUGUGUCAUUGUCAUCAUGCGCAGCACUGAAUGCUUCUAUCAUCUCUAUCAACUAUCUAUCUAUCUAUCUAUCUAUCUAUCUAUCUAUCUAUCAUCUAUCAUCUAUCUAUCUAUCAUCUAUCUAUCAUCUAUCUAUCAUCUAUCUAUCAUCUAUCUAUCUACCGUAUUUUUCGUCCCAUAGGACGCUCCGUCCCAUAGGACGCACCUACUUUUUUGGGGGGGGAAAUAAAGGAAAAUUUCCCCCCCUUUAUUCCCCCCCCCAAAACCAGGUCCGGGAACUGUGGGAUGGCGGUGCGGCGCCUCCCCGCUGUCCCCUGAGCUUGUGGGGCUGGCCGAUGUCUGCCCGGCGCGAGGGGCGCUCUGCUUCAGGGCGCCCCACGCGCCCGGCGGCAGGCUGCGGAAUCCUGCGCGAAGCAUGGGGCGUCCUCCGGAGGGCGCCCUGUGCUCUGCGCUACAGGCUGCAGCCCGCAAGCCUUGCGCUCCCGGGGGGAGUUUCCCCCAGUGCGCAAGGCUUGCCGACAACUGCGCGAAGCACGGGGCGUCCUCCGAAGGGCGCCCCGUGCUUGGCGCUGCAGGCUGCCGCCCGCAAGCCUUGCGCGCCCAGGGGAACUCCCCCCGUGCGCAAGGCUUGCGGGUAGCUUCGUGGAGCCUGGAGAGCGAGAGGUGUCGGUGCGCACCAUGCCUCUUGCUCUCCAGGCUUCAGCGAAAGCCUGCAUUCGCCCCAUAGGACGCACACACAUUUCCCCUUCAUUUUUGGAGGGGAAAAAGUGCGUCCUAUAGGGCGAAAAAUACGGUAUCUAUCUAUCAUCUAUCUAUCUAUCUAUCAUCAUCAUCAUCUAUCUAUCUAUAUCUAUCUAUAUCUAUCUAUAUCUAUCUAUAUCUAUCUAUAUCUAUCUAUCAUCUAUCUAUCUAUCUAUCUAUCUAUCUAUCUAUCUAUCUAUCUAUCUAUUAUUUCAGGAGUGGGAAACAUUUUUCAGCCCAAGGGCCACAUUGCUUCAUGGGGAAAAUCCCCGAGGGUUGAAUGCCAGUGGUGAGCAGGGUCAGAGGUAAAACUGGGUGGGGCAAGGCAUGCGAUUUGUACAGUAGACUGUAUUUCAGGCCUUAAGAAAGUCAGAGGUGCCAACACACCUGUCUCUAUCCAGCCAGGGAAUGGGGCCUGGGAAUGCAAAUAUCUAUUUCAUCAGAGUUAAAAAUCACCAUCCAUGUACAACUUAUCUCUAGAAGCUAUUAGAACUGGUUGCAUAGAACCUAGAAGGUUGCAUAGCCUUCUAGAACAAUUAUGAUAUCCAGGGAUGCUUUGGACUGACUUGGAUUAUCUUCUCCUGUUUUAUGUUUCCAUAUUAACAAAGAAUUCACUCUCAGACUGUUUAGUAAACAAGAAAAUGUGAGGUUUACUCACAUCAAAGUCUUGACAGGAUUCAACAGAUAUGAUGAUGAAAAUCAGACAGGCAAUAGGCUUUAAAUGUUACAAAUUUCCAUAGUCCAGUUCAAAAUGGAGAUUGUUCUCUGCAGGAGAGCAAAUAUUGUUUUUUUCCAUUGCAGUUAGGAAAAGAAUGUGAGACAGGAAUGAAUAUUCAGGGAUUAACUCCCUGCCACCAGGUUUUGUGGGUAUGACAUCAUGUUGUUGUUGUUUAGUCGUUUAGUUGUGUCCGACUCUUCGUGACCCCAUGGACCAGAGCAUGCCAGGCACUCCUGACUUCCACUGCCUCCCGCAGUUUGGUCAAAAUGACGUAGUGUCACCUUUAUACAUGGAGCCAUUGCUCCUGUUUGUGACUAUCUAGCAAUCAUUUCAGCUGCACAGGAAGAAGGCAUGUGGCCUAAAGUGAGUCCCAAGGGCCGGAUAAAGAUACUUGGGGGGCCAUGUUUGGAUUCUGGCCCUGAGAUUUCCCACUCCUGAUCUACCUAUGUAGAUACAGUGACAGACAGACAUGCUUUGAUUACUAUUGCAUUCCAUUUAUGUUUCAUAUUUUUAUACUGAAUAAUAAGAAACUUAAAAAUAAAUUAAAAUAAAGAAGAACCUGCGACUGACUGAUGCGGCAGGUUUCUGGUAAUGCUUAUUCACUCAACACUGAGAUCAUUUAUUAAAGGGUUGAAUAGCAAAGAAAGGAAAAGGAAAGAAGUUUCCACUGUUAGAAACCUCAAAUACAAUAGCUUAUAAAAAUGGCACCUGCUAAGCUAAUAAUUUGAAGCUCAGAAUACACGAUCUACCUACAAGUAUGUGCCAAAUUGCACACUGAUCCAAUAAGAAGUUUCACAGCUACAGCAAGUAAAAAGUUCUGAAAAUGGACCUUUUGACACUUGGUACUCCAAUUUUUCAAUUUGCAUAUCACACAUUGCUUCCCAAUGUGGAGGGAAACUACUGAUGCACUUUAUGUGGUCUUGUCAAGGAAGGCUACCCUUCAUUGAUUUCAUAGAAUCAUAGAGUUGGAAGGGACCCAAGGCUCAACCGUCUGCAAUGCAGGAAUCUCAGCUAAAGCAUCCAUGACAGAGGGCCAUCCAACCUCUGCUUAAAAGCCUCCAAGGAAGGAGAGUCCACAACCUCCCGAGGGAGACUGUUCCACUGUCAAACAACUCUUACUGUCAGAAAGUUUUUCCUGGUGGUUGAUCGGAAUCUUCCUUCUUGUAACUUGAAGCCAUUGGUUCAAAUCCUACUCUCCAGAGCAGGAGAAAACAAGCUUGCUCCCUCCUCCAUGUGACAGCCCUUAAGAUAUUUGAAGAUAGCUAUCAUAUCUUCUCUCAGUCUCCUCUUUUCCAGGCUUAACAUACCCAGCUCCUUCAAGUGCUCCUCAUAAGGCUUAGCUUCCAGACCCUUGAUCACCUCGGUUGCCCUCCUCUGCACACGUUCCAGCUUGUCAACAUCCUUCUUAAAUUGUGGUGCCUAGAAUUGGACACAGUAAUCUAGAUGUGGUCUGACCAGGGCAGAGUACAGUGGUACUGUUCCUUCCCUUGAUCUGGGCACUAUGCUUGAUGAGGUUCUGAGCAGUGGUUCUAAUAUUAAUAAUAAUAAUUUAUUAUUUAUACCCCGCCCAUCUGGCUGAGUUUCCCCAGCCACUCUGGGCAGCUCCCAAUCGAGUGUUAAAAACAAUACAGCAUUAAAUAUUCAAAACUUCCCUGAACAGGGCUGCCUUCAGAUGUCUUUUAAAGAUAAGAUAGCUGCUUAUUUCCUUCACAUCUGAAGGGAGGGCGUUCCACAGGGUGGGCGCCACUACUGAGAAGGCCCCCUGCCUGGUUCCCUGUAACCUCACUUCUCGCAAUGAGGGAACCGCCAGAAGGCCCUUGGUGCUGGAUUUCAGUGUCUGGGUUGAACGAUGGGGGUGGAGACGCUUUCCUUAUUAAGGCUUUCCUGCCCCCCUUAAAGUCCAUGGCAGAAACUACCAAGAAAUUAAAUCACUGCAUGCAUGGAUAAAUUUUUGAAGCAAAAAAUGCAUCUGGACUCCUAGAGGGAGCACUUAAUGGAUGCUACAUGCAAAGUCUAUUCAUUUAGUUACAACAGUGUGGCAAAGUGAUUGGGUGAGGGCUGACCAACCUUACUCUGCCCAUGGGAUACCUGAGAAAUAUGGGAGACCAAUGUUGCACAACACUGUUGCUGAUCACAAGGCAUGUCUGUUAAAACAUUGGCCUUAACUCCCAAUUCUCUGAUUUUGUGGAGUGCAAAACAAUGAAAGAGCCUUAACUCUGGUCUUUUUCUUAUUUACUUUUGCUUUAUAAAAUCCCUAAAUCAGAUUAUCAGAUUUGCAGUCUUCUAUACAUGACCUAAUUUAUUGUUACAUUAGAAAUAAUGACCUAAAUGUCAGUGUCACUACAACAGAGUUAAACCUUCGGGAAUUGGGAAGUUUGCCCAAAAUCAUGUAUAAUCUAGCAGAGUAGAUAUGUCAACAUGCAUAAGUACAUGUAGUUUGUUUGACAUGAUCACCCAUAAUCCUAUAAUAAUGCAGAAUAGAAUUUCCUGGAGGGUUUUCCUCAGCUUUAAAAUGUCUCUGACAUAUAAUUCCCCCAGCCCCCAUAAUUUUAGAAUGCUUUAAUAUCUGUAGUAAGUGGAGAUGUCUCAAAAUGAGAGAGAUACACUUUCCUAGCAGCAAAAAAGUCAUUUCUUUUUUCUUAGAAAAAUAUUUCUAUUUUAUUGAAAAUUUUCAGUGGGAAAAAAAGCAGGGCUUUUUUCAGCUGGACUUCACUUCCAGCACCUGUCAGGUGGGUGCCACUGACAUUCUAAGCAAACUAAGGAGGUGUUCAUGGUGAUUUCCAGCACCUCUUUUUCUAGAAAAAAAGCACUGGGUGAAAGAAAAUAAAAAUAAAAUAAAAAGGUGCUUGAAACUGUAAAACAAUACAAUAUAUAGGUAUAUAAGUAAUGCUAUUAUUCCACUGAGUAUCUGCAUUAAAAAGAUACCUGCAAAUAUGACAUGAAGGCUGGUAACAUCAACCCCGCCUUGGUGGGAAUUCCUUGAAGACAACCACAGUGCCUGGAGACAGGCAGUCAAGUCAUGUAUCCACAGCAGUGACCAAAGGAGAAAUGAUUUCUGGAAGGAGUACAGAAAAAUAAGUGUAAUGUACGCCUCUUUCCAAGACUCUGGUGCCCUUUUCCCUUCCAGUAUUUUUUGAUACAACAGAAUGCAAUAAAGAAGAGAAGUCAAAAUGAGAAGAAAGACAAAAUUUUGGGGAAAAUAAAAGAAAGUGAAAAGAAAUUGAGAGCAAAACCAAAGUCGCAGGAGAUUUUGAGAGAAAUAAAGUUAUACCAAGUACAAUAUAUGGAAAUGAUGAAUCUGGAAAUAGAAUGGAAAAUCAAACUCCCAGCUCUUUUUUUGCACCUCCCAGAUCCCUGUGGACUGUGGAAAAAAGGAAGGAAGGAAGGAAGGAAGGACAACUCUUUGUACGACAGUGCUGUACUGAAAACUUAUCCCAUUUAUUUAUUUUACUAACUCUCAUCCAGCAAUUAAUGAGAAAAUAUAUUUAAUAAGAACAUUAUCCAAGAGAGAAAAUGAUGGAGAAAUACAUAUGGGUCAAGUGCCGGGUAAUUGUCACACUUCCUUUAUUUUUGGGGUUGCUCAGGGAUGUUUAUGAGUGUCCUUUCAUUCAUUCUACAAAUCAUCUUUCCAGGGAUCUGAACUCUGCAGCCUUCCUGGGUGUCUGUGUUUCCUGAAAACCCCAUGGCAUUCUCAGCUGGGCUUUCUUGUAAACAUGGGAAGGUGAGGAAGCUUCCUACUGUGUGUCUGACAACUUAAAUAUUUUCCACAUAUAUCCUUUCAUUCUACAAAUUAUCUUUCCAGGGAUCUGAACUCUGCAGCCUUCCUGGGUGUCUGUGUUUCCUGAAAACCCUAUGGCAUUCUCAGCUGGGCUUUCUUGUAAACAUAGGAAGGUAAGGAAGCUUCCUACUGUAUGUCUGACAACUGAAAUAUUUUUAAAGAAAUGAGUGUGGGAUGGAUUCUUUUUCAAGCAAGGUAAAACGAAGGGCUUCCCUUAAAAACAAGUGAAUGCAUCACUCUCAGGCACCUGCAUCACUCUCAGGCACCUCCACAGCUUUUCUGUGCCUCAGUUACAGUUCAGGGAAAGACACCACAAAUUAACUUAUCCCAUGGGUUUUUUUCAGAUCAGGAAGUGCAGGCAGCCAGGGAGGCCGCAGAGUGCUGAAGAAAUGUUUAAGGUAGCGGUAAAAACACAGAAAACACAGCCUCAGCUCCACUACAAUGAUAAAUAAAUUCUAAAGCGCCCAGGGAAAGAGACAGUAAAAUUAAAGCCUCUUUGGCAGGACAACCUGACAGUGCAG